Molecule: ribosomal RNA, 235 nt
Filed under: uncultured bacterium
Lineage: Bacteria
Description: partial 16S ribosomal RNA
Rfam family: Bacterial small subunit ribosomal RNA
Source: RNAcentral
UACGUAGGGGGCAAGCGUUGUCCGGAUUUAUUGGGCGUAAAAGGCUUGUAGGUGGCCACGCCAAGUCGGAUGUGAAAUCUCCCGGCUCAACUGGGAGGGGUCAUUCGAUACUGGUGGGCUCGAGGCCGGUAGGGGGAAGUGGAAUUCCCGGUGUAGUGGUGGAAUGCGUAGAUAUCGGGAGGAACACCAGUGGCGAAGGCGGCUUCCUGGACCGGUUCUGACACUGAUGAGCGAA